Molecule: ribosomal RNA, 500 nt
Filed under: uncultured bacterium
Lineage: Bacteria
Description: partial 16S ribosomal RNA
Rfam family: Bacterial small subunit ribosomal RNA
Source: RNAcentral
GAUGAACGCUGGCGGCAGGCCUAACACAUGCAAGUCGAGCGGAUGACGGGAGCUUGCUCCUUGAUUCAGCGGCGGACGGGUGAGUAAUGCCUAGGAAUCUGCCUGGUAGUGGGGGACAACGUUUCGAAAGGAACGCUAAUACCGCAUACGUCCUACGGGAGAAAGCAGGGGACCUUCGGGCCUUGCGCUAUCAGAUGAGCCUAGGUCGGAUUAGCUAGUUGGUGGGGUAAUGGCUCACCAAGGCGACGAUCCGUAACUGGUCUGAGAGGAUGAUCAGUCACACUGGAACUGAGACACGGUCCAGACUCCUACGGGAGGCAGCAGCGGGGAAUAUUGGACAAUGGGCGAAAGCCUGAUCCAGCCAUGCCGCGUGUGUGAAGAAGGUCUUCGGAUUGUAAAGCACUUUAAGUUGGGAGGAAGGGCAGUAAGUUAAUACCUUGCUGUUUUGACGUUACCGACAGAAUAAGCACCGGCUAACUCUGUGCCAGCCGCCGCAGUAA